This 85-nucleotide transfer RNA is filed under the name Felis catus (domestic cat). It matches the Rfam family "tRNA". From Rfam's summary of the family: Transfer RNA (tRNA) molecules are approximately 80 nucleotides in length. Their secondary structure includes four short double-helical elements and three loops (D, anti-codon, and T loops). Lineage: Eukaryota; Metazoa; Chordata; Mammalia; Carnivora; Felidae. The record is from Rfam by way of RNAcentral.
GCCUAGGUGGCUCAGUCAGCUGAGCAUCUGACUUUGGCUCAGGUCAUCAUCUCGCGGUUUGUGGGUUCAAGCCCCGCACUGGGCU